UAAUUUAUCAUUUUUGUUCAUAGGUGUCUGGACUCUUAGGCAACAUCCUUACCAGACGGAGAAGACCAUCACUUGGAGAUCCUUGAUCCUGAGUUGGAUACAGUGACUGAAUGGGAUUUUGGACUGUUUCUCUUGUGAAUGGGUAAAUAGUCUGUGUGGGAAGAGCAGUGGAAGACUAUGUGAUGCCCAGGAGGAUAGACUCAGGAAGUUAAGUCCUGUUUAUGGUGUUGUACGAAUUACGAGCAUCCUCAGGUCCCGAGCAGCUCUUCCUCUGGAUCAGGUGUUGUGUCUGGCUGAAGGAAGAGGUGUCCCUGGAGCUGUCUCACUUGGCACUGUCACACCAUAUGCUGCCAUAAGGAAAACGUACCAGGGAGUCUAGUCUUUGCUCGGAGUGGGAAGAAAGGCAGAUGCUCCCAGUGCGGCCUUUCUUCCAGGCAGAGGAGGAACUUCUCAGGUUUCCAUCCCACUGAAUCAUAGACUCUCACUUCCCAUCCCCACUUCCACACUCCCUAAGUUAAGAUGCUGCUCCGUGCUUUAUGGUAACAGCUCACAGCCUCAUUAAAGCUGAGAUGAACAAAUGCUUACUGACCUUUUAUCACAAAGAAGGCAAUGUUGUUUAAAAGAAAACAAAACUAAUUCUGUUGACAACGCACCUUUCUGUCUGUUAGCCACAGAGCUUGUGUCGAGAUGGACAGCUUUCUGGGACAUUCAGCCUGCAGCCACAGUGCUCAGGAAAGACUACUGGUUUGCUGAAAUAUGAAUAUAAAAACACCUGACUCACCAAAUUAUUUCCUAGAAUAGUUAGCUGGGUGGAAGCUCACCAAGUUAAUAACUAAACCCCACACUCAAGUCUGUUGGCAAAGGGCAUGUUUAAGCUUAAUGGCUCUGUAUCCAUCCAGAGAGAUAAAGGAGACUUUGAUAUCCUGUCUGGUUGGCUGUGAGAGGAGCACGACUCAUUAGGCACCUGGGACGCUGAAGGAGUGACCUGUACUGGAAAUAUUUUGAAAAGUGAGUCGACGUACUAGCCCAGUCCUUCAGAGACUGCUCCACACCAAGCCUGAGGCAGCUGGUUAUUCAAGAAAUAGGACUUAGGGCUUCCCUGGUGACACAGUGGUUGAGAGUCUGCCUGCCGAUGCAGGGGACACGGGUUCGUGCCCUGG
Molecule: long non-coding RNA, 1160 nt
Organism: Aethalodelphis obliquidens (Pacific white-sided dolphin)
Lineage: Eukaryota; Metazoa; Chordata; Mammalia; Artiodactyla; Delphinidae
Exons: 3
Source: RefSeq, a predicted model, not a curated record